AUUGAACGCUGGCGGCAUGCUUUACACAUGCAAGUCGGACGGCAGCGGGGGUGCUUGCACCUGCCGGCGAGUGGCGAACGGGUGAGUAACAUAUUGGAAUGUACCGAGUAGUGGGGGAUAACCAAUCGAAAGAUUGGCUAAUACCGCAUACGUCCUGAGGGGGAAAGCAGGGGAUCUUCGGACCUUGCGCUAUUUGAGCAGCCAAUAUCUGAUUAGCUAGUUGGUGGGGUAAAGGCCCACCAAGGCGACGAUCAGUAGCGGGUCUGAGAGGAUGAUCCGCCACACUGGGACUGAGACACGGCCCAGACUCCUACGGGAGGCAGCAGUGGGGAAUUUUGGACAAUGGGGGCAACCCUGAUCCAGCCAUGCCGCGUGUCUGAAGAAGGCCUUCGGGUUGUAAAGGACUUUUGUUAGGGAAGAAAAGGGAAGUGCUAAUACCACUUUUUGCUGACGGUACCUAAAGAAUAAGCACCGGCUAACUACGUGCCAGCAGCUGCGGUAAUACGUAGGGUGCGAGCGUUAAUCGGAAUUACUGGGCGUAAAGCGAGCGCAGACGGUUACUUAAGCAGGAUGUGAAAUCCCCGGGCUCAACCUGGGAACUGCGUUCUGAACUGGGUAGCUAGAGUAUGUCAGAGGGGGGUAGAAUUCCACGUGUAGCAGUGAAAUGCGUAGAGAUGUGGAGGAAUACCGAUGGCGAAGGCAGCCCCCUGGAUAAUACUGACGUUCAUGCUCGAAAGCGUGGGUAGCAAACAGG
This 754-nucleotide ribosomal RNA is filed under the name uncultured Neisseriaceae bacterium. RNAcentral describes it as "bacterial SSU rRNA". It matches the Rfam family "Bacterial small subunit ribosomal RNA", at positions 28 to 776 of the family's 1533-position model. Lineage: Bacteria; Pseudomonadati; Pseudomonadota; Betaproteobacteria; Neisseriales; Neisseriaceae. The record is from RNAcentral.